CAAAACGGAGAGUUUGAUCCUGGCUCAGGAUGAACGCUGGCGGUAUGCUUAACACAUGCAAGUCGAACGGGAUGCUUA
This 78-nucleotide ribosomal RNA is filed under the name Anabaena sphaerica FACHB-251. RNAcentral describes it as "partial 16S ribosomal RNA". It matches the Rfam family "Bacterial small subunit ribosomal RNA", at positions 1 to 77 of the family's 1533-position model. The record is from RNAcentral. Lineage: Bacteria; Bacillati; Cyanobacteriota; Cyanophyceae; Nostocales; Nostocaceae.